AAGGAUCAUUAUUGAAAAUAAACCUGAUGGGUUGUUGCUGGUUCUCUAGGGAGCAUGUGCACACCUUGUCAUCUUUAUAUCUCCACCUGUGCACCUUUUGUAGACCCCUCCAGGUCUAUGUUGCUUCAUUUACCCCAAUGUAUGUCGAUAGAAUGUCGUGACUAUGAAAUCUAUACAACUUUCAGCAACGGAUCUCUUGGCUCUC
This 205-nucleotide unclassified non-coding RNA is filed under the name uncultured fungus. RNAcentral's name for it is "partial contains 18S rRNA, ITS1, 5.8S rRNA, ITS2 and 28S rRNA". Lineage: Eukaryota; Fungi. The record is from RNAcentral.